UCCCCGUUACCGGGGCAGUCUGAAUAGAAAAAUACAACUAUUCAUAAGGGUUGCGCUCGUUGAUGGACUUAACCAAACAUCUCACGACACGAGCUGACGACGGCCAUGCAGCACCUGUCACUCAGUUCCCGAGGGCACUCACUUCUUUCGAAGUAAUUCUGAGGAUGUCAAGCCCUGGUAAGGUUCUUCGCUUAGCAUCGAAUUAAAGAACAUGAUCCACCGCUUGUGCGGGUCCCCGUCAAUUCCUUUAUGUUUUAGUCUUGCGACCGUACUCCACAGGCGGGGUGCUUAACGCGUUAGCUUCGCUACUGAAGGGGUCGAUACCUCCAACAGCUAGCACCCAUCGUUUACGGCGUGGACUAC
RNAcentral lists this unclassified non-coding RNA (363 nucleotides) under uncultured bacterium. RNAcentral's name for it is "contains 16S-23S intergenic spacer region". The record is from RNAcentral.